Molecule: ribosomal RNA, 800 nt
Filed under: uncultured bacterium
Lineage: Bacteria
Description: bacterial SSU rRNA
Rfam family: Bacterial small subunit ribosomal RNA
Source: RNAcentral
AGAGUUUGAUCAUGGCUCAGAUUGAACGCUGGCGGCAGGCUUAACACAUGCAAGUCGAGCGGGGAAAGGUAGCUUGCUACCUGACCUAGCGGCGGACGGGUGAGUAAUGCUUAGGAAUCUGCCUAUUAGUGGGGGACAACAUUCCGAAAGGAAUGCUAAUACCGCAUACGCCCUACGGGGGAAAGCAGGGGAUCUUCGGACCUUGCGCUAAUAGAUGAGCCUAAGUCAGAUUAGCUAGUUGGUGGGGUAAAGGCCUACCAAGGCGACGAUCUGUAGCGGGUCUGAGAGGAUGAUCCGCCACACUGGGACUGAGACACGGCCCAGACUCCUACGGGAGGCAGCAGUGGGGAAUAUUGGACAAUGGGCGAAAGCCUGAUCCAGCCAUGGCCGCGUGUGUGAAGAAGGCCUUUUGGUUGUAAAGCACUUUAAGCGAGGAGGAGGCUACUUAGAUUAAUACUCUAGGAUAGUGGACGUUACUCGCAGAAUAAGCACCGGCUAACUCUGUGCCAGCAGCCGCGGUAAUACAGAGGGUGCGAGCGUUAAUCGGAUUUACUGGGCGUAAAGCGUGCGUAGGCGGCUUCUUAAGUCGGAUGUGAAAUCCCUGAGCUUAACUUAGGAAUUGCAUUCGAUACUGGGAAGCUAGAGUAUGGGAGAGGAUGGUAGAAUUCCAGGUGUAGCGGUGAAAUGCGUAGAGAUCUGGAGGAAUACCGAUGGCGAAGGCAGCCAUCUGGCCUAAUACUGACGCUGAGGUACGAAAGCAUGGGGAGCAAACAGGAUUAGAUACCCUGGUAGUCCAUGCC